This 253-nucleotide ribosomal RNA is filed under the name uncultured bacterium. RNAcentral's name for it is "partial 16S ribosomal RNA". It matches the Rfam family "Bacterial small subunit ribosomal RNA", at positions 524 to 776 of the family's 1533-position model. The record is from RNAcentral.
UACGUAGGGGGCUAGCGUUGUCCGGAAUCAUUGGGCGUAAAGCGCGUGUAGGCGGUCCGGUAAGUCCGCUGUGAAAGUCGGGGGCUCAACCCUCGGAUGCCGGUGGAUACUGUCGGGCUUGAGUACGGAAGAGGCGAGUGGAAUUCCUGGUGUGGCGGUGAAAUGCGCAGAUAUCAGGAGGAACACCAAUUGCGAAGGCAGCUCGCUGGGACGUUACUGACGCUGAGACGCGAAAGCGUGGGGAGCAAACAGG